UAAGGAAUAUUGGACAGUGGAGGCAACUCUGAUCCAGCCAUGCCGCGUGAAGGAAUAAGGCCCUAUGGGUUGUAAACUUCUUUUAGACGGGACAAAACCCCUUUACGUGUAAAGGGUUGAUGGUACUGUCAGAAUAAGCAUCGGCUAACUUCGUGCCAGCAGCCGCGGUAAUACGAAGGAUGCAAGCGUUAUCCGGAAUUAUUGGGUUUAAAGGGUGCGUAGGCGGACUAAUAAGUCAGUGGUGAAAGCCUGCAGCUUAACUGCAGAAUUGCCAUUGAUACUGUUAGUCUUGAGUACAGUUGAGGUAGGCGGAAUGUGUCAUGUAGCGGUGAAAUGCUUAGAUAUGACAUAGAACACCAAUUGCGAAGGCAGCUUACUACGCAAUCAUUGACACUGAGGCACGAAAGCGUGGGUAGCGAACAG
Molecule: ribosomal RNA, 423 nt
Filed under: uncultured bacterium
Lineage: Bacteria
Description: bacterial SSU rRNA
Rfam family: Bacterial small subunit ribosomal RNA
Source: RNAcentral